AUACGUAGGGGGCGAGCGUUGUCCGGAAUGAUUGGGCGUAAAGGGCGCGUAGGCGGCCCGGUAAGUCUGGAGUGAAAGUCCUGUUUUUAAGAUGGGAAUUGCUUUGGAUACUGUCGGGCUUGAGUGCAGGAGAGGUAAGUGGAAUUCCCAGUGUAGCGGUGAAAUGCGUAGAGAUUGGGAGGAACACCAGUGGCGAAGGCGACUUACUGGACUGUAACUGACGCUGAGGCGCGAAAGUGUGGGGAGCAAACAGGAUUAGAUACCCUGGUAGUCCACACUGUAAACGAUGAAUACUAGGUGUGGGGGGACUGACCCCCUCCGUGCCGCAGUUAACACAAUAAGUAUUCCACCUGGGGAGUACGAUCGCAAGAUUGAAACUCAAAGGAAUUGACGGGG
RNAcentral lists this ribosomal RNA (396 nucleotides) under uncultured bacterium. RNAcentral describes it as "partial 16S ribosomal RNA". It matches the Rfam family "Bacterial small subunit ribosomal RNA", at positions 523 to 918 of the family's 1533-position model. The record is from RNAcentral.